GACAGAGGUGCCGAGCGUUAGGCGGAAUCACUGGGCUUAAAGCGUGUGUAGGCGGACCGUUAAGUACCUUGUGAAAUCCCCCGGCUCAACCGGGGAACGGCUGGGUAUACUGGCGGUCUUGAGCCAUCCAGGGGCAGUCGGAACAGACGGUGGAGCGGUGAAAUGCGUAGAUAUCGCUUGGAACGCCAAAGGUGAAAACAGGUUGCUGGGGUUGUGCCGACGCUGAGACACGAAAGCCAGGGGAGCAAACGGG
RNAcentral lists this ribosomal RNA (253 nucleotides) under uncultured bacterium. RNAcentral's name for it is "partial 16S ribosomal RNA". It matches the Rfam family "Bacterial small subunit ribosomal RNA", at positions 524 to 776 of the family's 1533-position model. The record is from RNAcentral.